This 117-nucleotide ribosomal RNA is filed under the name Ruminococcus sp. The record is from RNAcentral. Lineage: Bacteria; Bacillati; Bacillota; Clostridia; Eubacteriales; Oscillospiraceae.
GACGGUGUUGAUUGCAAUGAGGUCCCACCCGUUCCCAUUCCGAACACGGAAGUUAAGCUCAUUAACGUCGAAAAUACUUGGUUGGCGACGACCUGGGAAGAUAGAAAGAUGCCGUCA